UACGGGGGGGGCAAGCGUUGUUCGGAAUUACUGGGCGUAAAGGGCGCGUAGGCGGCCUGCUAAGUUGGAUGUGAAAACUCUGGGCUCAACCCAGAGCCUGCAUUCAAUACUGACGGGCUAGAGUACUGGAGGGGAAAGCGGAAUUCCUGGUGUAGCGGUGAAAUGCGUAGAUAUCAGGAGGAACACCUGUGGUGUAGACGGCUUACUGGACCGCAACUGACGCUGAGGAGCGAAAGCCAGGGGAGCAAACGGG
Molecule: ribosomal RNA, 253 nt
Filed under: uncultured bacterium
Lineage: Bacteria
Description: partial 16S ribosomal RNA
Rfam family: Bacterial small subunit ribosomal RNA
Source: RNAcentral